This 435-nucleotide long non-coding RNA is filed under the name Parus major (Great Tit). RNAcentral's name for it is "lncRNA (ENSPMJG00000014432.1)". The record is from RNAcentral. Lineage: Eukaryota; Metazoa; Chordata; Aves; Passeriformes; Paridae.
CCACUUUUAAAAUUUAAAGUUCAGGAUUUUAGCAAUGAAGAACUGCUUUAAAAUACUGUGAUGUAAAAUGCAAGCCUAGUAACCCCGACAAGACAAGGCAUUAAGUUACAGGGUUUGGCAAAUUACACAGCUUUUUUUUCAACUCCUGUUCUAGCUGACAAGAGAGCACAAUGGAGGGCAGUGGCAAGAGGAGGAGAAACUGUAUCCUUGUGUUUUCAUCAUUAGAAGAGAAUGAAAGGACAGCAGUGGCACAGCCAGACAGGGCAGGGGGUUUGUAAUCACCACAGAAGCCAUGUCUGAGCAUCUCCUGCAGCUCUACAGCCACAAAAAUCACACCUGCAAAUUAGUGACCCCAUCGGAAUCAGAGAAUUGGUAAAGAAGAAACCAAGAAGUUCAGCUGGAAGCGAAGAAGGCAAGGGAGGUACCAAAAAUAAA